GAUGAACGCUGGCGGCGUGCCUAAUACAUGCAAGUCGAGCGAACGGACGAGAAGCUUGCUUCUCUGAUGUUAGCGGCGGACGGGUGAGUAACACGCGGAUAACCUACCUAUAAGACUGGGAUAACUUCGGGAAACCGGAGCUAAUACCGGAUGAUAUUUUGAACCGCAUGGUUCAAAAGUGAAAGACGGUCUUGCUGUCACUUAUAGAUGGAUCCGCGCUGCAUUAGCUAGUUGGUAAGGUAACGGCUUACCAAGGCAACGAUGCAUAGCCGACCUGAGAGGGUGAUCGGCCACACUGGAACUGAGACACGGUCCAGACUCCUACGGGAGGCAGCAGUAGGGAAUCUUCCGCAAUGGGCGAAAGCCUGACGGAGCAACGCCGCGUGAGUGAUGAAGGUCUUCGGAUCGUAAAACUCUGUUAUUAGGGAAGAACAUAUGUGUAAGUAACUGUGCACAUCUUGACGGUACCUAAUCAGAAAGCCACGGCUAACUACGUGCCAGCAGCCGCGGUAAUACGUAGGUGGCAAGCGUUAUCCGGAAUUAUUGGGCGUAAAGCGCGCGUAGGCGGUUUUUUAAGUCUGAUGUGAAAGCCCACGGCUCAACCGUGGAGGGUCAUUGGAAACUGGAAAACUUGAGUGCAGAAGAGGAAAGUGGAAUUCCAUGUGUAGCGGUGAAAUGCGCAGAGAUAUGGAGGAACACCAGUGGCGAAGGCGACUUUCUGGUCUGUAACUGACGCUGAUGUGCGAAAGCGUGGGGAUCAAACAGGAUUAGAUACCCUGGUAGUCCACGCCGUAAACGAUGAGUGCUAAGUGUUAGGGGGUUUCCGCCCCUUAGUGCUGCAGCUAACGCAUUAAGCACUCCGCCUGGGGAGUACGACCGCAAGGUUGAAACUCAAAGGAAUUGACGGGGACCCGCACAAGCGGUGGAGCAUGUGGUUUAAUUCGAAGCAACGCGAAGAACCUUACCAAAUCUUGACAUCCUUUGACAACUCUAGAGAUAGAGCCUUCCCCUUCGGGGGACAAAGUGACAGGUGGUGCAUGGUUGUCGUCAGCUCGUGUCGUGAGAUGUUGGGUUAAGUCCCGCAACGAGCGCAACCCUUAAGCUUAGUUGCCAUCAUUAAGUUGGGCACUCUAAGUUGACUGCCGGUGACAAACCGGAGGAAGGUGGGGAUGACGUCAAAUCAUCAUGCCCCUUAUGAUUUGGGCUACACACGUGCUACAAUGGACAAUACAAAGGGCAGCGAAACCGCGAGGUCAAGCAAAUCCCAUAAAGUUGUUCUCAGUUCGGAUUGUAGUCUGCAACUCGACUACAUGAAGCUGGAAUCGCUAGUAAUCGUAGAUCAGCAUGCUACGGUGAAUACGUUCCCGGGUCU
This 1372-nucleotide ribosomal RNA is filed under the name uncultured bacterium. Its description in RNAcentral is "bacterial SSU rRNA". It matches the Rfam family "Bacterial small subunit ribosomal RNA", at positions 28 to 1381 of the family's 1533-position model. The record is from RNAcentral.